GGUUGUCAUGCCAAUGGCACUGCCCGGUAGCUAAAUGCGGAAGAGAUAAGUGCUGAAAGCAUCUAAGCACGAAACUUGCCCCGAGAUGAGUUCUCCCUGACCCUUUAAGGGUCCUGAAGGAACGUUGAAGACGACGACGUUGAUAGGCCGGGUGUGUAAGCGCAGCGAUGCGUUGAGCUAACCGGUACUAAUGAACCGUGAGGCUUAACCUU
This 212-nucleotide ribosomal RNA is filed under the name Escherichia coli. RNAcentral describes it as "partial 23S ribosomal RNA". It matches the Rfam family "Bacterial large subunit ribosomal RNA", at positions 2719 to 2925 of the family's 2925-position model. RNAcentral also lists the same sequence under 1 other name. Lineage: Bacteria; Pseudomonadati; Pseudomonadota; Gammaproteobacteria; Enterobacterales; Enterobacteriaceae. The record is from RNAcentral.